AUCUGCGUCAAGGGCGCGAGCCUGACGCAGCGACGCCGCGUGGGGGCAGAAGGCUUUCGGGUUGUAAACCGCUUUUGGGGUGGGACGAAGCCACUCGGGUUAAUAGCCCAGAGGGUGACGGAUACCGCCAGAAGAAGCCCCGGCUAACUACGUGCCAGCAGCCGCGGUAAUACGUAGGGGGCAAGCGUUGUCCGGAUUUAUUGGGCGUAAAGAGCGUGUAGGCGGUUAGGUAGGUCCGUUGUGAAAACUCGAGGCUCAACCUCGAGACGCCGAUGGAAACCCCCUAACUAGAGUCCGGAAGAGGAGAGUGGAAUUCCUGGUGUAGCGGUGAAAUGCGCAGAUAUCAGGAAGGACACCCGUGGCUAAGGCGGCUCUCUAGUACGGUACUGACGCUGAGACGCGAAAGCGUGGGGAGCGAACAGGAUUAGAUACCCUGGUAGUCCACGCCGUAAACGAUGGGUGCUUUUUGUGGGAGGUGUCGACUCCUUCCGUGCGCGACGCUAACGCAUUAAGUGCCCCGCAUGGGGAGUACCUCCGCAAGGCUAAAACUCAAAGGAAUUGACGGGGGCCCGCACAAGCAGCGGAGCAUGUGGUUUAAUUCGACG
Molecule: ribosomal RNA, 605 nt
Filed under: uncultured bacterium
Lineage: Bacteria
Description: bacterial SSU rRNA
Rfam family: Bacterial small subunit ribosomal RNA
Source: RNAcentral